This is a non-coding RNA of Cyanistes caeruleus (blue tit), 2654 nucleotides long. The record is from RefSeq and is a predicted model, not a curated record. Lineage: Eukaryota; Metazoa; Chordata; Aves; Passeriformes; Paridae.
GGGAAGCCGGGGAGGCCCCGCUGGCGGCGGUGAAAAGCCUGGGGAGGGGGCUGGGAGAGCCUCGGCUUCCCUCGGGACACCGGGGGCUGGAAGUGGGAAGGAGGGGGUUGCCCGUGUUUGACAGGUGUCACGGCUCAAGGUCUUGGUUGUUUUUUAGUUCUGACAUUUUUGGAGAACAAAGCACAUGCCAGGAUCCGGCAUGGUGUCAGAAUCUGCCCAGGUGAAUGAGAAAAAUGAGAGCAAUAGCACCGGCAGCGCAGUUCCUGUCUCCUGCUGCUGAGGGGGAAUUGACAGACAAGUCCCACUCCUGAGGAUGUGAUGUCCUGGGUGUCCAUGUCCUGCUGCUCACUCCAUCGUGCAGAAGUGACUCCACCAUUCUGCUUUUCCAGCUCUGCCUGCUCUCAGCAAAACACAACUGCAGCAGGAGCAGCCUCCCCAGGCAGACAUGCCUCAGCCCUCAGGAAACCUCAAACCCUGUUUCCCCAUCUCACAGUAGCUACCUCCAUGUCUUUAUUAAUCUGAAUAAAUUUGGGUAUGUGUAUUUAAUUGACAGGGAAAAAUAAAAUGUGACUUAAAAGAGGUUUAAAACAUUUUUUUUUUUCCCUAACAGCGAGGUCCACGCUGACAACAGGAUGAUACCAGCUGGGAUCUACCUUUCUGAUCUGAAAAUAUGAGGAUUACUCACAUGUCUAAAAAUAAGCCAUGCUGAAAUUCCCUUGUUGGAUUAAGAUCUAAACCCUGCAAUUGUCACUUUUCCCACCAGUGUCAGUGGCUUAACUAAAUAUACUGUCCACAUUGCUGCCUGAUAUUCCCAGAUUGUUUCUCUUUCCCCUUUCACUGGAACUUCCCCAUGUUUCUGUGAGUUUAUUUUACUUUUUGGUUGCUUGCUUGUUCUUUUCACCAAUUCAUCAUCUUUCCUGCUACAUUCCUUUCCCCAGCCAUGUAUGAUCUCCCAUCCUGUCCUUUCCAUUUCUUCUCCAAGGUUUGCCACCCACUGCUUCAAAUUUGGGAGAAGAUAUCCAAACUACAAAUUUCUGCAAGUGGUGGGAAAAGUAUAUACAAAUUUAUCCUGGAUUUGUGUCUCUUCCAUGCAAGAAAGGGUAGAAGUAUUCCCAGGGUUGGGCCAGUUUGCUGGUAAGGACACUCUGACAUCUGAUAAGUGCUGUGCUGGCACAAAAUCAUUUCCAGGUGACACACAAUCUUAUGGUUUACUCUGAUGAAAAAAGUGGACUCAUGAUUUAGCCACAUGUGGAGAAACAACUAAGACCAGACAUGAGGAAAAGGCAAGGAUUUAAUGUGAAUCCAGCAUUUUAUUCUGUGCUUUGAAAUAAAGAAGUUCACAAACAGAUUUUUAAUCUCUUAAAGAUGCAUGGAGUUUGACAGCACCCACAUAUGAGGAGAAUAUUAAACAUUCUUGAAGAAAAAUUACCUCUACAGGUGCUUUUCCUGGGUGCAAACCCUCCAGCUGUGGUCUUUACGUAGGAGAAGUUAAGUCACAAACAUAAUUUCUCAUAAUGCAGAGAAAGCUCCUCCCAUCCUUGCUUACAAUAAAUUACAUACUCUGUCCACAAAGAAAUAAGUUUCCCUCUCUAAGCUGCUAUUUUUCCCUCUUGUUCUUCCUCACCACUGCAUUGAUCAGUGUCUCAAAGAGGUCUUAAUUUGAGAAUUUUCCUAAUGCACAAUGUGUGCAAGAUUAAGCUUUUUUCAAGGAUUUGCUGGUACAAAAGAAAUAUAUUUCACAAUAAGAAGAACAAUUGCCAUUCUAAAUAUCAAAGCACCAUGAUACACACUUUAUAGUUCUGCUCCAAAACACUUUUGUUUCAAAUUCUCUCUUUUCAGGAGCUGCUUCUUCUGAAAUUUCUCACUGUUGUUAAGUAGCCCAAAGGGGGAUUUGUGCAUGCGUGUGUGUGUGUGUGUGUGUGUGUGUGCAUGGGAAGUUUGGCAUAAUUCAUUCAGGAUAUUGAGGUAAUGGGGUUAUUCUAAGCAUGAAACAAGCUAAUUUUCAUGCCUUUUGGAAGCUGUUCUCCUGUUUGCCUAAUUUCAAAUUGUUUCCCUCUUGAAAGGUUAUUGUAACUGAUGUGUCUGAUGUGACCAGGGCAGCAGACCUGACCGGCUGGGACUGAUCCUGACAUGGGCACCAGGCUCUUCUCCAUCACCUGGAGAACUGCUUGAAGUUGGGUGGGACAAGCAGAAGGCAAAAGUGAUGUGUGUGGGGAAAAGGUCAGUGCAUAAACUUUUUCCAAGGAAAAAAGAAGCCACUGUGCCUAGCAGAAAUGUGGUUAGGUCUGAGGCUAGCAAAGGGUUCAGCUGAGAAACAAGGACAGCAUAGAUAAGCUGAGAAGCUUUCAAGAAACCAGGUCUUUUGGACAAAGCAACCAAUCUUCUACACUGAAAAGUCACCUGAAGACAGAAGGUGCCUGGAAGAGCAAGCUUUUAGUGCCAGCUCACGUACAACCUCAUUGUACAGCCAGAAUUGACACCAGAGAGAUUGGUUGACACAAUGGUCUUUGGAGUUUGCCAAAUAGCCAGAUGUUCCUUGCCAUGGGGGAAUUAUCUUCCUCACCCUGGCAUCUGGUUCCUGUAGCUGCCCAUAAAAGAAGGGGACAGGCACACUGUGCAGAGGGGCAGGUGGCACAUUGCAAUGGCUUUUUCAA